This 1156-nucleotide long non-coding RNA is filed under the name Scleropages formosus (Asian bonytongue). Its description in RNAcentral is "lncRNA (ENSSFOG00015032164.1)". Lineage: Eukaryota; Metazoa; Chordata; Actinopteri; Osteoglossiformes; Osteoglossidae. The record is from RNAcentral.
CUCCUGUGACAUCCUCGGUUUACUUCAGGCACAUCUCCUAAGAAAUUGUUUAAGAAGGAAUAUUGUUUCCUUCAUAACAAUCAUACAUACUAUAUUCUUCUGUGGUUAUUUGUACGGGUUUUAUGCAAUUUUUAAAUUGUGCAGUUUUUUUUGCUAUGAUAGUAGUUCACACUGUGAAAAUUAUAAGAUUGAUGCACUGUUACUGUACAAGUUCCUUCUGUACAUUUUAGUACUGCAGGUGAAAUUCCUUUUACAAAAAUGACUGGCAGCUACUUGCACUCAUUCCCUCCUGGCAGCUCAACUCACAUGAUUGCGUGACUAUAAAACUUAAGGGCAGAAAGUUCGAGAACAACAUGACAACGACGUCCGAGAGCUGAGCUCAUCGAAAUGCAUGGAUGUGGACAGACGGCGCAAGGACCUGGGAACUAACCCCACAGUCUGCGGGCCAUCUAGACGAUCACCCGUCCCUUCAUUCCCCAGCUGUCAGCGACCAGCACAGGACACAUCGACCUCUUCCCCCGAGACUCCGCGGAGCUCAGCCUGAGGUAGGCAGAGAAAUGUCAACUGUCAUCUUUGAAAGGACCUCAAGUUUCAAAGAAGAGGAAAUAUUUGGUUCUUAUGCGGAGAACACAUUCGAUGGAAACGCGUAGAUAUGAAUGAAGGGCGGUAUGAAAACAAGCUUGUGAAGAUGAGAGAGGGUAUUUUUCACAGAAACCUCAUGUCAGGACCGAGAUAAGGGAAGACAGGCCUGUGUGAAGAGGACAGAUGCCUCCUGCAUUGCUGCCUUUGAACUGUCUUGUUUCGUUUUCCAUUAAAUACUCAAACUGUCUUUGGUGAACAGUGCAUUUCUACACUGAAGCCCCACGCACACAUCUUCCGUUGUUAAAAACGUUUCCCCUGUCUUGCAAAUGUAUCUUGCAUCCCUCCUUUGAGAUCCCCUUAGACAACACAGGAUACAAACACACAGUUUGUCGCUCGAAGAAACAGUUGAUUUCUGUUUAUUUAUUCUUUUUUCACUUAUUUCAAUCGGAUUGUUCAUGGGAAUUAUGAAAUCCUUUUACACCGUCAUGUCACAUGUAUUGACAAGCUUCUGCCUUCCUUGUCAAGAUGAGGGAGGCAACAUUAGCCAGGGAUUUUGAUUUGGUAUGUGAGCACA